AACGCUCCCAUCCCCACGCAGAGAUUGAUUCACAGACUUGUGUUUGAGUCUUCACUCGUGCAUUCUACUUGCUUUGAAUCUUCGGGCAAGUCGGGAAACCUAAGCCUCAUCCGUAAAAAUGGGAUCAUAAAACUUACCAGGACAAAAGGCAUUUGUCAGGGUUGAUUGCUGAAGCACUGGGUGCACUCAGCUAACUUCCCUGAUCCCUGUGUUGGAAACACCGCAGCCACAGGAUCUUGGAGAGGUGACAAACUGGACCUUUGAAUACCUGGGCCUGGCAGGUAUUCUGACCCCAUCCAGCCUGUGAGCUUCCCUUCCCGGAGCCAACGUGGUCCUUCAUAAGGAAAACAACUUCUGAGAGUGAAUGUUUUGAGCUACCAGUCACUUGAGAGGGGGAAAAAAGCUCAUACCCACAGGAAAGACUUUUCUGUUGCCAUGGCAACAGGUCACCACCACAACCGGUUUGAAGCUAUUUAGUCAAGGACAAUCCAUCUCCCUUCAGCUGAACAGUUUUUCUCAGUGACUAGGCAUUUUAUAGCCAGCCAAUCAGUAAUAGCCAUACUGGUUGACCAACCAAUCUCUAAACACUACCUCCCUUGAUAUGUUCCCGCCAUUAAUCUUCAACCACCUAGCACCUUAUAUAAGAUCAGUGCCCUGCUCCACCCACAGGGAUUGCACCCAACAGGCCCAGCUCCACCUCCCUUAAGUAACUACUGUAGUAAAUGCAGCUUUUUCGUUCA
Non-coding RNA from Callithrix jacchus (white-tufted-ear marmoset), 740 nucleotides. Lineage: Eukaryota; Metazoa; Chordata; Mammalia; Primates; Cebidae. The record is from RefSeq and is a predicted model, not a curated record.